RNAcentral lists this transfer RNA (74 nucleotides) under Hofstenia miamia. Its description in RNAcentral is "tRNA-His for anticodon AUG". It matches the Rfam family "tRNA". Rfam says of the family: Transfer RNA (tRNA) molecules are approximately 80 nucleotides in length. Their secondary structure includes four short double-helical elements and three loops (D, anti-codon, and T loops). Further hydrogen bonds mediate the characteristic L-shaped molecular structure. tRNAs have two regions of fundamental functional importance: the anti-codon, which is responsible for specific mRNA codon recognition, and the 3' end, to which the tRNAs corresponding amino acid is attached (by aminoacyl-tRNA synthetases). tRNAs cope with the degeneracy of the genetic code in two manners: having more than one tRNA (with a specific anti-codon) for a particular amino acid; and 'wobble' base-pairing, i.e. permitting non-standard base-pairing at the 3rd anti-codon position. Lineage: Eukaryota; Metazoa; Xenacoelomorpha; Acoela; Hofsteniidae. The record is from RNAcentral.
GGCCGCCUGGCUCAAAUGGAUAGAGCCACCUGACUAUGGAUCAGGAGGUUGCAGGUUCGAGUCUGCGGUGGUCG